UCACAGGGGCAUUUUAGUCAUUUUUCUCAAAAAUCUCAAAAUCAGUUAAAAAUGUAGUAUGCAAGUGGAAAACACAUAUUUCAUAAUCAAAAAUAAUUUUGGAUGUCUAAAACAUUCGUUUAAAAUGAAAUUAUGACUAUUAGUAUAAAAUAAAAAUAUUGAAUAAAACAUUCAAUUUUCUCAUAAAACAAUAUUUUAAGAACACUGCAUAAAUAAUUUUUACAGCGUAAAAGUAAAAUAAAUUCAUAUAUAUUGUAAUACAGAUAAUCAAAGUAUAAAAUUAAAUUUGCAGUGACACGUGGGCCCACGAACGACUAAAAGUAUCUAGAGAGAUAAACCUACAUAUUUUGAGGAUGCUAGUCCAAUUGUAACCCUCGAUAAAAUGAGCUAUGUACCGACUACCCUAAGCCUGAAAUGGGUGGAAAGAAGGGUGGUGAGAUUAUAUAAUCUCAGUGAGUAAACAAAUAUCAUUUAAAACAUCUAAAGGCGAAUAAAAUGAGACUAUAAAAACAUUUCAUUAAACAGUAAUUUAUCAUUUAUCGACUUAUUUCAACCAAAUGAAAUCAAUUUAUUUAAAUCAAGUAAUCAGUAUGGCUUAUGAACUUCUUAAAACUUUGGCUCAUGCCGAAAUCAUUAUCAUACUCAGUUAUCAGGGAUACCUUGAUCGAGGGCUAUCCCAACCGAGUCCGCCAAGGCUGUUAAAAAAAUUCACAUUUUGCAUAAAUCAUAUUUUUAUUUUGAAACAUAUAGACGUUCCUUGGCGUUAGCGGAGUUCAUCAUCACGAGGUGGUUCGACGUGAAGUGAACUCUAAAACUAUUAGCCUCAGGAGUUAUCCACCCACGCCUCUCAUACUAAGGUAAGAUAUAACAGGGUUUACCGUGCUCCUCUAAUAGGCUGGCCCACUAAAACUCGCCUACUGCAGUGGCUAGUUAAAUUACCCACCAUACAAUAAAAUUCAUUCUAGCAUGACAUGGCAAUUAUUGUAAUUCAUAGCCUGUCAAGGCUAAAUACACAUUUCAUAUAUUUUAACAUAAAUACCAAUUUAGCCAUUCAUGCAAAUAUUAUCAUAAGCCAUUUAUUCAAAUCAUAAAUCUACAACAUACCAGUGGUCUCCAAUUACUCUAUUUUUCAAAAUCAUUAUUUCGUUUCAAGACAAUUUAUAAAAUCAUUUUAUUUAAACAUAUUUUAUUUGUAAAACCAAAAAUUAACCAUUUAAACUCAUUUUCAUAAAAUUCCACCAAAAUCGAUUAAAAUCAUACUUUAGAUAAUUAAAAUGAUGAUAAGGUUACUCACAGUAUUAGGAGUAGAAAUACUCCUAUCCUCCGCCCUCGGGUGCAGUCUCUUACCCGAAACAAUUGACUCACCACCUAUCCAUAAUCCAUGACACAAAAUUCAAUAAAUUGUGUCAAUUUAUCAUAAAUUAUUUCAGGCUCUUAUCCAUGCGUAUGCACUAGAUAGGAUUUGAAAUGUCUAGACAAUCGCUUAAUUGCGGUGUCCGACCUAACUCGCCUAUACACGGUGUAAAUUCCUAAAAUCCCCAAUUCGACUCCAAUUCCAUCCAUUUCAAUUUCAAUUAUCCAAUUAUAUCCACAAUACCUCAAUGACUGUGAAUUUGGUCCAAUUUAUCAGUCCGGACUAUAAAUUACGCUUUUACCCCUAGUGGGUAAAAAUUUCAAUUUAUUGCACCGAAAAUUCCCAUUUAAUUUCCAACCUCAUAAUUCAUCAUUUUUCCACCCAAUUCUCUUAAAAUAAAGUCAACCUCAUCCUCACAUACCAUUGGCUAGAUUCGGCCUAGGGAAAUUCAUGGAGAAGAUAAAUAUUUUUCUUGUUGUUUUACUCAUAAACAUGCUAAACUAACACUAAACACUAACAUAGCUCAAAAUCAAAUUUAUCUAACAACUUUCUCUCUCUAAACCCAUAUGACCAGAAUUGAAAUCAUCCUCAAAUCACAUGAUUCAACCAUGAAAAAUGAUGGGAAAUGCAUGGGAAAGGUAAAGCACAAGACAAAUUUAAGAAAUGUUACCUUUUUUUCACUUGAUUUUUGAAUUUCCACCUAUUUUCCCUUUAAAUUUCUUGGCUAGGGUUUUAUUUUCUCCUUUCUCUCUCUUGUUUCUUGCUUGGCCGAAUGUUGAAGAAGAAGAAUGGGUUAUGGGCUGAUUUUUUUAUGCCUUUUUAUUAGUUUAAUGAAAUAAUAUUAUUUUAUUCAUAUUUUGAAUAUUUUAUUAAUUCAUUUUUUUU
RNAcentral lists this long non-coding RNA (2239 nucleotides) under Theobroma cacao (cacao). RNAcentral's name for it is "long non-coding RNA (TCAC_LNC006383)". The record is from RNAcentral. Lineage: Eukaryota; Viridiplantae; Streptophyta; Magnoliopsida; Malvales; Malvaceae.